UUUAAUGAACUGCAGCUGAAAAGUGACAGUUCUCUAUACACCCACAGGCAAAUAUAGUUGUGUGUCAAUGGGACCUUCAGUAUGUUGCCCCAUCAACAUGCCACAACCAUCUGGAGGAACCACCUCAGGAAGUAAGUAUGUAGUUCAGUCUCCAUGUCCAGUCAGUCAUUGGCCUCU
Molecule: small RNA, 177 nt
Filed under: Crocodylus porosus (Australian saltwater crocodile)
Lineage: Eukaryota; Metazoa; Chordata; Crocodylia; Crocodylidae
Description: TUC338 (ENSCPRG00005008406.1)
Source: RNAcentral